UUUCAAACAAUGUGUAUAAUUUAACCAACUCUUUUGACUCUUUUUUCUAAUCAAUUCCUUUUCGGCACCCACUCACGAAAACAAAAGGCUCCAAUGUAUUGUUCUGUGCAUCUCUUUGAACUUAUGCAGGAAUGUAAAACAUAUAGUGCUAAAUAUUUUAGUUCCUAAUUCAUACAUAGCACUAUAAUUUACCGAAAACAAGAGAUUCGUCUAUAUCCUGGAAUAACUAACUAGUUUUACCUCGGGUAGAAAUUGCUGUGGGAAACUGUAGCAACUGAACUACAAUCAUCAUCACCGUCACAGUAAUUUAGUAACUUUUUUCUAAUGUUAUUAAGUUCCAUGGUGUUUUCGUCUAUAAAAGGAGGCUUAGAGGGGACAGGUAACGGUUCAUCAGUUUUUGCUAGCAUUUUUAGCACUGCUGGCAUCGAUGGUCUUAAGGAUGGUGCUUCUUGGGUGCAAAGAAGUCCUACAUGUAUCGCUUUUAUGGCAUCUUUUCGGAAAUUAACGUUGGGAUAACUAUGCAUCAUUAGGUUUGGGUCAAAUAUUUCCUCCACUGUGCCUUGCUUGAAAUGCUUCCAUGCCUUAGACACUAUGCUUUCGGUAUACUCUGCGCUUUUGCCUCCAUUGUUUUCGAUGCCGGUGACUACCUCAAGAAUUAGAACACCAAAGCUAUAAACAUCCGCCUUUUCAGUUAACUGACCAUGGGCUAGGUACUCCGGAGCCAU
RNAcentral lists this long non-coding RNA (725 nucleotides) under Helianthus annuus (common sunflower). RNAcentral's name for it is "sRNA HanXRQr2_Chr08g0318071". Lineage: Eukaryota; Viridiplantae; Streptophyta; Magnoliopsida; Asterales; Asteraceae. The record is from RNAcentral.